AUACGGAGGGAGCGAGCGUUAAUCGGAAUUACUGGGCGUAAAGCGCGCGUAGGCGGCUUUGUAAGUCGGAUGUGAAAGCCCAGGGCUCAACCCUGGAAUUGCAUUCGAUACUGCAGAGCUAGAGUAUGGUAGAGGGAAGUGGAAUUUCCGGUGUAGCGGUGAAAUGCGUAGAUAUCGGAAGGAACACCAGUGGCGAAGGCGACUUCCUGGGCCAAUACUGACGCUGAGGUGCGAAAGCGUGGGGAGCAAACAGGAUUAGAAACCCCGGUAGUCC
Molecule: ribosomal RNA, 274 nt
Filed under: uncultured bacterium
Lineage: Bacteria
Description: partial 16S ribosomal RNA
Rfam family: Bacterial small subunit ribosomal RNA
Source: RNAcentral